GAUGAAGAACGCAGCGAAAUGCGAUAAGUAAUGUGAAUUGCAGAAUUCAGUGAAUCAUCGAAUCUUUGAACGCACAUUGCGCCCGCCAGUAUUCUGGCGGGCAUGCCUGUUCGAGCGUCAUUACAACCCUCAGGCCCCCGGGCCUGGCGUUGGGGAUCGGCGGAGCCCCCCGUGGGCACACGCCGUCCCCCAAAUGCAGUGGCGGUCCAGCCGCAGCUUCCAUCGCGUAGUAGCUAACACCUCGCGACUGGAGAGCGGCGCGGCCACGCCGUAAAACACCCAACUCUUCUGAAGUUGACCUCGAAUCAGGUAGGAAUACCCGCUGAACUUAAGCAUAUCAAUAAGCGGAGGA
Molecule: unclassified non-coding RNA, 352 nt
Filed under: soil metagenome
Description: partial contains 5.8S ribosomal RNA, internal transcribed spacer 2, and large subunit ribosomal RNA
Rfam family: 5.8S ribosomal RNA (bases 1-120)
Source: RNAcentral